CUACUUAUGCCGGCGACCGGCGGACGGGUGCGUAACGCGUAUGUAACCUACCUUUGACAGGGGGAUAACAUCGAGAAAUUGGUACUAAUACCCCAUAACAUCACCGGAGGCAUCUUCGGUGGUUGAAAACUCCGGUGGUAAUGGAUGGGCAUGCGUUGUAUUAGUUAGUUGGUGGGGUAACGGCUCACCAAGACAACGAUACAUAGGGGGACUGAGAGGAAGGUCCCCCACAUUGGAACUGAGACACGGUCCAAACUCCUACGGAAGGCAGCAG
Molecule: ribosomal RNA, 274 nt
Filed under: uncultured bacterium
Lineage: Bacteria
Description: partial 16S ribosomal RNA
Rfam family: Bacterial small subunit ribosomal RNA
Source: RNAcentral